Molecule: non-coding RNA, 1263 nt
Organism: Chiloscyllium plagiosum (whitespotted bambooshark)
Lineage: Eukaryota; Metazoa; Chordata; Chondrichthyes; Orectolobiformes; Hemiscylliidae
Source: the annotation of a RefSeq genome assembly
CGUAAUUCAACACUCCUGGGUCGGAUCUGUUUAGAAAGAUCUUAGCAGAACCGCUUCCCACAAGUUAUCAGAAUGAUUGUGUCGACACUUUUUCUCAGUUUGUUACUGACUUUCUUGUCAUGUGUCCAGUCGGAGGUUGUUUUGACCCAGCCAGAGGCAGAGACUGGCCGUCCCGCAGGCAGCCUGAAACUGACCUGUAAAACCAGCGGCUUCAAUCUUGGCAGCUACUACAUGCACUGGGUCCGACAGGUUCCCGGACAGGGUCUGGCGUGGCUGCUGUACUACUAUAGUUCAUCGGACAAUAGCUAUGCACCAGCGAUUAAGGGCCGAUUUACUGCGUCCAAAGACACUUCAAACAACAUUUUCGCGUUGGACAUGGAGAACCUGAAGAUGGAAGACACCGCCAUCUAUUACUGUGCAAGAGAACACAGCGGGAGGAACCAGGGCUGGACCCGUUCAAAAACAGCUUGAGGGAACAUUUUGUCAAUUCCAUCAUAAACUGACGGUCAGUACGAGUUUUAAAUGCAAUUAUACCAACUGCGAUCUGAAGCAGACCUCAGGCUGCCUCUUACAAAACUAUCAAAGAGGAAAUGUACCAUUUAAACUAGCAAACUGGUGACACAAUGGGACAAUGUUUUGGGCAUCUCAUAUGUACGCUAACACUUCCAUCAAUUAAAUGCUCGGACAAAAUGUUCGUUUUAAUAUAUCUGACAGCUCAGGAAAUCACUGCUCAUUGUUAUGUCAACUAUGGCAUCAAUUCUAAACAUGAACAGUACUAAAUGGCUCUUUCAAAUGAAAAUUGAGACCUCGAGUAAAGAACAGAGAAUGAGUGUACUGGUCUACAUCAUUGUGAUACUACAGUGGGUCACAGUGUUGUGCACAGCGACAUCCUCAUACAAAAACCACUGAAAAGUGUUUAUCUCAAAUUGGUGAUUUCUACCAUGGCAGGUGUGAGAAAUAAUGUGAGAUGCAAUUUAAACGCAAUCCGGUAGUGCUAGUUUGUACAAGUGUAUAAUUUUUCUACCUUCUUCGUGUUGAUUGUCAAGUUCAAUGCAGACCAAACGUGGAAAAGUAUUCCAAGCUUUCAAAAUACAAUGGAUCGUAAAAGCUGGAAUAACACACUGAAUCAUUUUUAAAGGAGUCUGAAUCACUGCUUUCUAGGAAGUGAAGAAAUUCUCUGCAUUUUACAGUUUACAGUCUGUCAUAGUAUUUGACACAAUGUGUCUCACAGUGAUAUAGCUGGAGGACUGGGGCCAAGGGACC